GUCAAUAUGUCCGAGUGGUUAUGGAGAUAGACUUGAAAUCUGUUGGGCUUUGCCUGCGUAGGUUUGAAUCCUGUGCUGACG
Transfer RNA from Ipomoea nil (Japanese morning glory), 81 nucleotides. It matches the Rfam family "tRNA". From Rfam's summary of the family: Transfer RNA (tRNA) molecules are approximately 80 nucleotides in length. Their secondary structure includes four short double-helical elements and three loops (D, anti-codon, and T loops). The record is from Rfam. Lineage: Eukaryota; Viridiplantae; Streptophyta; Magnoliopsida; Solanales; Convolvulaceae.